RNAcentral lists this long non-coding RNA (847 nucleotides) under Homarus americanus (American lobster). RNAcentral describes it as "uncharacterized LOC121877631, transcript variant X3". Lineage: Eukaryota; Metazoa; Arthropoda; Malacostraca; Decapoda; Nephropidae. The record is from RNAcentral.
UGACAGUCUGACUUCCUCCAGUGUAAACAAGGCUUCCGCUCUGUUGUACUUUAAAACUUUGGGGCGCACCAUGUCCGAAAGAACAAUACCUUAGUUAGAAGUGGAAGGACCAGGGACAGGUUCAGGGUCAUCGACCUCCUCCUCGUCGGACUCUUCUUCAGGUGGCACAGGUGAAGUUGUGUUGUAAGCGGACGGGAAGUCGGACUGAAGUUUGUGUUCGUAUUACUGUGAGUCUUGAUGAAGUUGUGUGAAGUUUGACGUAGUGUUUUCUCAAGUGCUGGAAACUGAACGUAAGUGUUGGAAAUUGAACUUGAUGUUGUGGACAGUUAUUUAAAUUGUUGAAAAGUGACUGGAAGUGUUGGAACUAUACUAAAGUGUUGUAAAGUGAACUUGAAGUGUUGGAAACUGGCUGAAGUGUUCCUAAAUGAAUUUAAAGUGCUAGAUAGAGAGCAUAAAGAGUUAGAAACUGAGCUGAAAGUGUUGGAAACUGAAGUUAAAGUGUUGGAAACUGAACUUAAUGUGUUGGAAACUGAACUUAGAGUGCAGGAAAUUGAGUUUAAAGUGCAGGACAGUGAACUUAAAGUGUUGGAAACUGAGCUGAAAAUGUUGGAAAGUGAACUAAAGUGUUUAAAGUUGGAUGUUGAAUCGUGUUGACACUUGAGAUCUUGUGAAGAGACUGUUUAAAGUUGCGUUAAGUGUUUCUACCAAGAGUAAGUCGCGUUAAGUGGCCGUGGUAUAGUAGUGACAAGUGUGGUACUGUACCCUGACGUGUCUUGAUCUUGUCGAGAACCUGUCCAAGACGUGUGUGUGUGUGUGGGACGUGUACUGCCUGCCAGUCUCCAGUCUC